CAGCAGCCACGGUAACACGUAGGGUGCGAGCGUUAAUCGGAAUUACUGGGCGUAAAGCGUGCGCAGGCGGUUAUAUAAGACAGAUGUGAAAUCCCCGGGCUCAACCUGGGACCUGCAUUUGUGACUGUAUAGCUAGAGUACGGUAGAGGGGGAUGGAAUUCCGCGUGUAGCAGUGAAAUGCGUAGAUAUGCGGAGGAACACCGAUGGCGAAGGCAAUCCCCUGGACCUGUACUGACGCUCAUGCACGAAAGCGUGGGGAGCAAACAGGAUUAGAUACCCCCGUAGUCCCUGUCUCUUAUAC
Molecule: ribosomal RNA, 301 nt
Filed under: uncultured bacterium
Lineage: Bacteria
Description: partial 16S ribosomal RNA
Rfam family: Bacterial small subunit ribosomal RNA
Source: RNAcentral